Molecule: non-coding RNA, 76 nt
Organism: Potamilus streckersoni
Lineage: Eukaryota; Metazoa; Mollusca; Bivalvia; Unionida; Unionidae
Source: the annotation of a GenBank genome assembly
ACUACAGUAACUCAGUUCAUAGAGCUUUGGACUUGUAAUCCAAGAGGCAUGGGUUUGAUACCCACCCAGGCCAGCA